This 24-nucleotide non-coding RNA is filed under the name Arabidopsis thaliana (thale cress). The record is from RNAcentral. Lineage: Eukaryota; Viridiplantae; Streptophyta; Magnoliopsida; Brassicales; Brassicaceae.
GGCUGUCGUGACUCGUGAAAGAGC